UGGCAAACGGCGGAGUAAUACGUGAACAACGUGCCCCAAAGACCGGGAUAGUCAUUGGAAACGAUGGGUAAUACCGGAUGUGGUGAUUGAGUCUCAUGAUUUGAUCAUUAAAUGGUUUUUCGCUUUGGGAGCGGUUCACGGCCUAUCAGGUAGAUGGUGGGGUAAUGGCCUACCAUGCCGACGACGGGUAGCGGGUCUGA
This 200-nucleotide ribosomal RNA is filed under the name Pycnococcus provasolii. Its description in RNAcentral is "partial Bacterial small subunit ribosomal RNA". It matches the Rfam family "Bacterial small subunit ribosomal RNA", at positions 96 to 295 of the family's 1533-position model. Lineage: Eukaryota; Viridiplantae; Chlorophyta; Pseudoscourfieldiophyceae; Pseudoscourfieldiales; Pycnococcaceae. The record is from RNAcentral.